Nicotiana attenuata is the source of this 1043-nucleotide long non-coding RNA. RefSeq lists it as uncharacterized. Lineage: Eukaryota; Viridiplantae; Streptophyta; Magnoliopsida; Solanales; Solanaceae. The transcript has 6 exons. The record is from RefSeq and is a predicted model, not a curated record.
UCACUAAACCCUAGACUUCUUUUAAAUUUCUAAUAGCAAAAAAGAUAUAGCUGUAGCACCACUCAGAUAAAAUAUUUCUCUAGAGCACAUCGAAGAAGAACUCUUUCCAUCUCCUGGAACCCCGUGAAAAAUACUCUCUCAACAUAUUAAAGAAUACUCCCCCUUUAGAGAAAUCUAAGCAAAUCUGAAGAUACCCAAUCCCUAGCCGCCGGAGAAGGAGAAGACUCUUAAUUUUCCUUAGCUGCAAAGUAGGUAGCAAUUUUGGUAGCAGUAGGGGGUGGAGAAGCUGCAAAUUCGGUGCGAUAAGGGCAGAGACUUUAGCUCCUCAUGGUAAAGUUAUUAUUAAAAAAAGCCAAAUUUUUAUCAAAGGAAAUCUUAAUCUGAAGUGUAUGGAUACUAUCUAGAAGUAUAUAGUCUAAACUACAUACAGAGAAUCAAGAAGAGUGUCCGUGGGAAAAGGAGGAGGGGUGGAUUUCAUUAUCAGUUGAAGAAAAAUCACUUUAAAGCCAAUAAGAAUGAAGAGCGUUGAAUGGAGAAUAGGCCGAUAGAUCUUCUGGAGUUUCACUUUAAGGAUCUUCUUAAAUAUUGGAACUUCGAUUCCCACAAGAAAAUGUCCACAACCAAUACCGAGAAUCGAAAUAAGUUGAGCUAUCUGCACACUGUUGACAAAACAAGUUUUGCUCUAAUCCACGAGGCUCUUUGUGACCGGCAACUAGUUGGUUUGGUUUAGUUCUUUGGUUUCUGGCCACUACUGUUGAAAAAUUUGCAGAUAGGCCUAUGUGGAAUACUGGAUUAGUUUUGCUCAUGGAGUUCAUAGUGAAGGUGGAGUAGAUCAAGAAAUGGAAGAUGAAAGAAGUGAAGAUCUAGACCUUAAGAUGAAUUCUGAAUUGCUAUAGAUGAAUGUUCAAGGAAUCUUUUGUUAUCAACAUUAUUUGAAACUUAUUAUUCUCUUGAAAUGUAUUAAACUUAUGCACUUGGGGUAGAACAUUUUGCUUUAUCGAUAUUAUUAGCUUGUUGAAAAAUUUAGAUUAUUAAUGGUUUUA